UACGUAGGGUGCGAGCGUUGUCCGGAAUUAUUGGGCGUAAAGGGCUCGUAGGCGGUUUGUCGCGUCGGGAGUGAAAACACCGGGCUUAACUCGGUGCUUGCUUUCGAUACGGGCAGACUAGAAGCAUGCAGGGGAGAACGGAAUUCCUGGUGUAGCGGUGAAAUGCGCAGAUAUCAGGAGGAACACCGGUGGCGAAGGCGGUUCUCUGGGCAUGUCCUGACGCUGAGGAGCGAAAGUGUGGGGAGCGAACAGG
RNAcentral lists this ribosomal RNA (253 nucleotides) under uncultured bacterium. Its description in RNAcentral is "partial 16S ribosomal RNA". It matches the Rfam family "Bacterial small subunit ribosomal RNA", at positions 524 to 776 of the family's 1533-position model. The record is from RNAcentral.